Molecule: ribosomal RNA, 1512 nt
Filed under: Bacillus sp. IHB B 3112
Lineage: Bacteria; Bacillati; Bacillota; Bacilli; Caryophanales; Bacillaceae
Description: bacterial SSU rRNA
Rfam family: Bacterial small subunit ribosomal RNA
Source: RNAcentral
AGAGUUUGAUCUUGGCUCAGGACGAACGCUGGCGGCGUGCCUAAUACAUGCAAGUCGAGCGGACAGAAGGGAGCUUGCUCCCGGAUGUUAGCGGCGGACGGGUGAGUAACACGUGGGUAACCUGCCUGUAAGACUGGGAUAACUCCGGGAAACCGGAGCUAAUACCGGAUAGUUCCUUGAACCGCACGGUUCAAGGAUGAAAGACGGUUUCGGCUGUCACUUACAGAUGGACCCGCGGCGCAUUAGCUAGUUGGUGGGGUAAUGGCUCACCAAGGCGACGAUGCGUAGCCGACCUGAGAGGGUGAUCGGCCACACUGGGACUGAGACAUGGCCCAGACUCCUACGGGAGGCAGCAGUAGGGAAUCUUCCGCAAUGGACGAAAGUCUGACGGAGCAACGCCGCGUGAGUGAUGAAGGUUUUCGGAUCGUAAAGCUCUGUUGUUAGGGAAGAACAAGUGCGAGAGUAACUGCUCGCACCUUGACGGUACCUAACCAGAAAGCCACGGCUAACUACGUGCCAGCAGCCGCGGUAAUACGUAGGUGGCAAGCGUUGUCCGGAAUUAUUGGGCGUAAAGGGCUCGCAGGCGGUUUCUUAAGUCUGAUGUGAAAGCCCCCGGCUCAACCGGGGAGGGUCAUUGGAAACUGGGAAACUUGAGUGCAGAAGAGGAGAGUGGAAUUCCACGUGUAGCGGUGAAAUGCGUAGAGAUGUGGAGGAACACCAGUGGCGAAGGCGACUCUCUGGUCUGUAACUGACGCUGAGGAGCGAAAGCGUGGGGAGCGAACAGGAUUAGAUACCCUGGUAGUCCACGCCGUAAACGAUGAGUGCUAAGUGUUAGGGGGUUUCCGCCCCUUAGUGCUGCAGCUAACGCAUUAAGCACUCCGCCUGGGGAGUACGGUCGCAAGACUGAAACUCAAAGGAAUUGACGGGGGCCCGCACAAGCGGUGGAGCAUGUGGUUUAAUUCGAAGCAACGCGAAGAACCUUACCAGGUCUUGACAUCCUCUGACAACCCUAGAGAUAGGGCUUUCCCUUCGGGGACAGAGUGACAGGUGGUGCAUGGUUGUCGUCAGCUCGUGUCGUGAGAUGUUGGGUUAAGUCCCGCAACGAGCGCAACCCUUGAUCUUAGUUGCCAGCAUUUAGUUGGGCACUCUAAGGUGACUGCCGGUGACAAACCGGAGGAAGGUGGGGAUGACGUCAAAUCAUCAUGCCCCUUAUGACCUGGGCUACACACGUGCUACAAUGGACAGAACAAAGGGCUGCGAGACCGCAAGGUUUAGCCAAUCCCAUAAAUCUGUUCUCAGUUCGGAUCGCAGUCUGCAACUCGACUGCGUGAAGCUGGAAUCGCUAGUAAUCGCGGAUCAGCAUGCCGCGGUGAAUACGUUCCCGGGCCUUGUACACACCGCCCGUCACACCACGAGAGUUUGCAACACCCGAAGUCGGUGAGGUAACCUUUAUGGAGCCAGCCGCCGAAGGUGGGGCAGAUGAUUGGGGUGAAGUCGUAACAAGGUACCCGU